Molecule: long non-coding RNA, 345 nt
Organism: Sapajus apella (tufted capuchin)
Lineage: Eukaryota; Metazoa; Chordata; Mammalia; Primates; Cebidae
Exons: 2
Source: RefSeq, a predicted model, not a curated record
AUUGGUCAGGCUGGUCUCGAACUCCUGACCUCAGGUGAUCCACCUGCCUCAGCCUCCCAAAGUGCUAGGAUUACAGGCUUGAGCCACCAUGCACAGCCCCAGGCAUAGAUUUUUCUUGAGGCAGAAGUGAGUGGGGAGGGCUCACUGAGUGGGAGGCCCUUCUUUGUCUCUCGUUGGCCACCUUCUGCAUGACAGACCUCAGGACAUCAAUUGCUUCUUUGAACCGUGCGGUGGCUCACGCCUAUAAUCCCAGCACUUUGGGAGGCUGAGGCGGGUGGAUCACAAGGUGAGGAGAUCGAGCCCAUCUUGGCCAACAUGGUAAAACCCCGUCUCUACUAAAAAUAC